This is a long non-coding RNA of Protopterus annectens (West African lungfish), 3037 nucleotides long. RefSeq lists it as uncharacterized. The record is from RefSeq and is a predicted model, not a curated record. The transcript is spliced from 4 exons. NCBI's taxonomy places the organism in Eukaryota, Metazoa, Chordata, Ceratodontiformes, Protopteridae.
UGCUGGAAAUUACAAAAAAAAGCCAGACAAGACACCUUAGUCAGGCAAAGGGCUAAGUUAUUGUUCAUUUAGAGGGUCCAUUUGUUCAGCACAUAUAGUAAAGCAAUAACAACACAUGAAGAUUAAAUUAGAAAAAAUAUUUGGAAUACGGUCUAUAUUAUUCACAGAAGAAGUAAUACAGUCAUAUUGAGGAAUUCUCCUGAUGCUCUAAAAAUACCUGUGGUGAGAAGUAAGAACAUAUCUACCAAUAAGGAAGCAACAAUAAUUAAUAAAAAUCAACCCUUUGCUGCUCUACCCCUCCCUUUUCAAAUUCAACAGAGGGGAGGUCAAGACACAGUAAUAGUAGGGCAGAAACCAAAAAGGAAGAACUCAUUCGGCGAGAGACAAAUUCAAACUAUCAAAAAGAUGUGGAAUAUGAUGGACAGAAUUUCAUUUACAUUUCCAAACAUGUCAUGACUAAGCGUGAGCUUGAUAUCUUGAAUAAGGGUUUUACUUUCAUUCCCGCUAGUCGAGCAGAUUUGACAGACACUAUAAUUGAACUGAGAACUUUUGUGCGAAAUGUUGCUUUGAAAAUGAUAUAUGGCUCUGCACAAUGCACAGCUGCAGAUGAGAGGCCCAUGAACAUGGAUACCCAUGCCAACAGGCUGCUAAGGCUGUGCUGCGAGGUUGGCACGGUUUGAAUCCCAGGAGUGGUAGUAAGCUGUAUGCGUAAUUUCACCAAGGAAAAUUUCCUACACAGGUCUGCCAGAAUCGGAAAGCAGAAGUGUUUGUGACUUCAAGUGGCAUUAUGAAUGGAUAUAGUACAUAUCAUACCAGUUGAACUUAGAAGACUUCUGAAUUUUAAAUUGUUACAGAAAUGAACUUUUAAGCACAACUACUGUGAUAUUUUAACGUCAGCAAAAAAAUAAAUAAACAAUUAAGACAAAUAUUUGGUCUGAAGGGUGUAUAGAAUUCAAACACAACAGGAUGCUUGCAUUAAGGCAUGAAGAUGGUUAAGUUACAUCAGAGAAAACAUUUUUGACCACCAGGUGCAAAUUUCAGCCUUGGUCAAAGCUGUUGCAGCUUCUUCAUUUGGGAAAGACAUACUCACAUUUAGAGCUGUUUGUUUUUUGGUAAAAUGUGGUUAAUGAAAAUGGUCAGACUUUUCUUUUUUUCUGAUUUAGAUAAGAAUGAUGAAAAAUAUUUUCAUGAAGAUGAACCUUAGAGAAGUGAAAUGGCACAGUAUUAAUAGUUUGGUCUUUAAAGUUGAGUUAAAUAUUUUUAAUGAAUCAUGAUAUUGCUGCUGUAAUGCUUUGUAAGGGUAAACAUAGUGCACCCAAGACAGAAGCAGAUGGGUUCCAAUAGACUCUUACCAGUGAUAAACUUGGAUGUGUCUUGUGACAGAUGCUAUAACAUAGGCAGGGAGCAGUAAAAAUCAUUAUGUUAUAGAAUGUCAGUAUGUAUAAGAAAAUUAAAAGAAUUUAAGUUACCUUAAAGAACAAAUAGAGGAUCUUCUAUCCUUGACUGACAAUGGCCUGGUUAAUAAAGUCAUAUUAUGAGAUUCCUUAAAAAUGCAUAUUAAGGAUAUUAUAGGAUGAUGGUCUAAUAAUCAAAUGAAAAAUUGUGACAAAGUGAUAUUAGAAAUACAAGAUGCCACACAUAAAAUAAGGUUUAAACAACAAAGAAAUUAAGUAAUACUGAAAUUAAUAAAAAAAUGACAAAAUAACAAGUAAUUUUACCACAUGAAGUAGAGAUAUAUCUAGAAAAAUUAAAAUGACAAAGCUAUGCAAUGACUCCAAAAUAUCUCUUCAGAUUUGCUAAUAGAAGUAGGAUGUUCACAUAAAGGACAAAUCAAAAAUAUUAGAAAUCCCCACACUGAUAUGUUUAUUGCAGAUAUACAGGAAAUAAUAUAGUAAAAAAAAAUUCCAUGAGUAUCUUAAUUAAAAUAUUAAUUUUGAUGAUUGCAAAAGGUAUAAGUAUUUCAAAAAGAAUGUCACUAAUAAACUAACUGGUCAGCCAAUUUCACUGUUAGACAAACACAUGGCACUAACUGAAAUUAAAGAUGUUUUAAAAUGCUAAAAUGACAAAGCUCCAGGGUUAGAAGGUUUAAGUAUGUAGUUAUGCAAUAUGCAUCCAUUAAAUGUUUUAAAAUUACUGAGUAAAGUUUUCAUUAUAAUCCAGAGUGAUAAAAUAAUUCCUCCCUCGUGCAAAUUUUCUGUAAUUUAUCUAUACUUAAAAAAAGAAUAAAAAGUUUUUUCAUAUAGACAUAUUUCAUUAUUAAAUGCAUAUUAUAAAGUAUUUACUUCCAGUUUUGCCACAAGAUUAAGAGAUAUAGUAGAUGAAUUAAUAAAGUCCAAGCAGGAUUUAUAGUUAAUAGAUUAAUUUAUGAUAAUAUCAAAAUGGUAAUAUGAUAAUAAUAAAAAGGUAAUACAAAUUUUGGAUUUAGCAGAUGAAUUGAGCAGAAAAUUGACUCUAAUUAGUUUAGAUACUGAAAGAGCUUUGUCUGUGGAUUAGAAAUAUGUAUUUAAAACUUUGGAAGCAUUUUAAUUUCCAGAACAAUUUAUUGAAAUAUUAAGAAAUCCAUAUAGGGAUUCUAAAGCAUAUACUACAAUUGGAUCUUACAUUCUUACAUUUCUCAAGGCUUUACAUUAAACAAAGGUACAAAUCAAGGAUGUCCUCUGUCUCCUUUAUCUUUUCCAUUAGCCAUUAAACUCUUAGCUAAUAGUAUAAGAAAUAAUGAUAAAACUGAUUUCUUUUUCAAUUUGUAAAGAUUUUCAAUCUAAAAUACAGCUUUUUGCAGAUUAUGUUUUGUUAACUACAGGCAAUUUAAACAACUCAAUUGAAGAAAUAGAUGGGGAACUGGAAAGUUUCAAGAAAUAUCAUUAUUGAAAUUUAAGAAUGGAUAAAACUGAAACCAUAGUGAUGAAUCAACUACUAGAUAGUAAGGUAAAAUAUAAAUAUAAAUAUAACUGGAAAGAACAAUAAUUAAAAUAUUUAGAAGUAAAGAAUUCUCAAGAUGUAAGAUUAUUAACAAUAAUUUUGAAAAAAAAAUAAUUGA